This 420-nucleotide long non-coding RNA is filed under the name Gossypium raimondii (Peruvian cotton). Its description in RNAcentral is "long non-coding RNA (GRAI_LNC003152)". The record is from RNAcentral. Lineage: Eukaryota; Viridiplantae; Streptophyta; Magnoliopsida; Malvales; Malvaceae.
AAACUUCUCGGAUUUGGAUUUAACCACGUUGUAGUUAACCCCGUUCAUGAUGCUAUGUUGUUUCAAUACACCAAGAAAACUAUCCUUACUGGAAAACUCCUUACCAACUUCUAAUUCACCCGAAUCUAAUGACGAACUUGUACGGUCACGCCUUUUGUGUGGUAGAUAUGGAAACUUCAAUGCAUCCUCUAUCGAUAAUCGACAUUAUGCAUGUGGGAUGGAGGCGAGUACGCCCUGAAUCGCGGAUCUUCUUUUUCUUCAUCUGAACCCCCUUCAACAUCUUCAUGUUCGUUUGGAAUAGGCUCCGGUUCAGAAAAUAAUACAACUUUUGCAUCAUCUGAGCCGGGUUCUCGAGGUGGAUCUACAUCGGACUCAUCAUCCAACCCACCAUCAUUUGCAACGUACGAGGUCCCAUCGCCG